UGGAGUCAUGUUCUGCAAGGGAUCCGCCUAUAUGCACGAAAAAAAAAAAAUGCUCGUGUGUGAGAACGGGUUAUGUAAAUUAACCAAGGCUAUUAUACCAUCAACACCAUUGAGCACACAACAGAUGAACUAACGAGGGACAGUCCGGAACACCCACAUCACAUAAAGAAUGAAAGAGUGCUGAAGUCCUUUAUGAUUCAUGGUUCAAUGUACUCCAAGCAACGCGAAAAUCUGUCAGAAAACCUCGGCAAUCAAAGGGAAAUAACAAUGGAAAGAGAAUCUAGACUGCUUGAUUAAGGGUCAGAUUUUCGCUUCUUGAGCUAAACAGGAAUUAAACUAUAGCAGUAACCUUUUAGGUCUAAUCAACUUUCGUCGGCAGGCAACUAAAGCUCACCAUAGGCACGAAGAAUUCUCCAGAAAUCUAUUUUCCUUUUAGGCAAACUACGAUUGAUAGCAUUAAAUAUUAUGGAUUACUAACCAAUCGUUAUAAAGUCGACCCUUAUAAAUAGUUUUGCCCAUUGAAUUCAUGAAAAACUAAAAACAAUGAAUAAUA
Long non-coding RNA from Actinia tenebrosa (Australian red waratah sea anemone), 553 nucleotides. The record is from RefSeq and is a predicted model, not a curated record. Lineage: Eukaryota; Metazoa; Cnidaria; Anthozoa; Actiniaria; Actiniidae.